Sphaeramia orbicularis (orbiculate cardinalfish) is the source of this 132-nucleotide long non-coding RNA. RefSeq lists it as uncharacterized. The transcript is spliced from 4 exons. Lineage: Eukaryota; Metazoa; Chordata; Actinopteri; Kurtiformes; Apogonidae. The record is from RefSeq and is a predicted model, not a curated record.
GUGCUCUUCUGAUCAGUGAAUAUCCUUUCCCCAUCAUCAAGAAGGCAUGGGAGUUCGGUCUGGUCAACAGUCACAUUCCAGAGGACUGUGGAGGAAUGGGCUUGUCCAUCUUUGAACCCUGCCUCAUCACAG